GAUGAACGCUAGCGGCAGGCCUAACACAUGCAAGUCGAGGGGCAGCACGAAAAAGCUUGCUUUUUUGGUGGCGACCGGCGCACGGGUGCGUAACGCGUAUGCAACCUACCCUGUACUGGAGGAUAGCCCGAAGAAAUUCGGAUUAAGACUCCAUAGUAUCAAGACACGGCAUCGUGAUUUGAUUAAAGGUUACGGUACAGGAUGGGCAUGCGUCCCAUUAGCUAGAUGGUAAGGUAACGGCUUACCAUGGCAACGAUGGGUAGGGGGCCUGAGAGGGUGAUCCCCCACACUGGUACUGAGACACGGACCAGACUCCUACGGGAGGCAGCAGUGAGGAAUAUUGGACAAUGGAGGCAACUCUGAUCCAGCCAUGCCGCGUGCAGGAAGAAUGCCCUAUGGAUUGUAAACUGCUUUUAGCAGAGAAGAAAAGCAGUCAUUUAUGAU
Molecule: ribosomal RNA, 444 nt
Filed under: uncultured Flavobacteriales bacterium
Lineage: Bacteria; Pseudomonadati; Bacteroidota; Flavobacteriia; Flavobacteriales
Description: bacterial SSU rRNA
Rfam family: Bacterial small subunit ribosomal RNA
Source: RNAcentral